UACGUAGGGUGCGAGCGUUGUCCGGAAUUAUUGGGCGUAAAGAGCUUGUAGGCGGUUUGUCGCGUCUGCUGUGAAAAUCCGGGGCUCAACCCCGGACUUGCAGUGGGUACGGACAGACUAGAGUGUGGUAGGGGAGACUGGAAUUCCUGGUGUAGCGGUGAAAUGCGCAGAUAUCAGGAGGAACACCGAUGGCGAAGGCAGGUCUCUGGGCCACUACUGACGCUGAGAAGCGAAAGCGUGGGGAGCGAACAGG
Molecule: ribosomal RNA, 253 nt
Filed under: uncultured bacterium
Lineage: Bacteria
Description: partial 16S ribosomal RNA
Rfam family: Bacterial small subunit ribosomal RNA
Source: RNAcentral